RNAcentral lists this ribosomal RNA (254 nucleotides) under uncultured bacterium. RNAcentral's name for it is "partial 16S ribosomal RNA". It matches the Rfam family "Bacterial small subunit ribosomal RNA", at positions 524 to 776 of the family's 1533-position model. The record is from RNAcentral.
UACGUAGGGUGCGAGCGUUGUCCGGAAUUAUUGGGCGUAAAGAGCUCGUAGGCGGUGUGUCGCGUCGGCCGUGCAAACCUGCAGCUUAACUGUGGGCUUGCGGUCGAUACGGGCAUCACUGGAGUUCGGCAGGGGAGACUGGAAUUCCUGGUGUAGCGGUGAAAUGCGCAUAUAUCAGGAGGAACACCGGUGGCGAAGGCGGGUCUCUGGGCCGAUACUGACGCUGAGGAGCGAAAGCGUGGGGAGCGAACAGG